GACGAACGCUGGCGGCGUGCUUAACACAUGCAAGUCGAACGGAAAGGCCCUGCUUUUGUUGGGUGCUCGAGUGGCGAACGGGUGAGUAACACGUGAGUAACCUGCCCUUGACUUUGGGAUAACUUCAGGAAACUGGGGCUAAUACCGGAUAGGAGCUCCUGCUGCAUGGUGGGGGUUGGAAAGUUUCGGCGGUUGGGGAUGGACUCGCGGCUUAUCAGCUUGUUGGUGGGGUAGUGGCUUACCAAGGCUUUGACGGGUAGCCGGCCUGAGAGGGUGACCGGCCACAUUGGGACUGAGAUACGGCCCAGACUCCUACGGGAGGCAGCAGUGGGGAAUAUUGCACAAUGGGCGGAAGCCUGAUGCAGCAACGCCGCGUGCGGGAUGACGGCCUUCGGGUUGUAAACCGCUUUCGCCUGUGACGAAGCGUGAGUGACGGUAAUUGGUAAAGAAGCACCGGCUAACUACGUG
This 468-nucleotide ribosomal RNA is filed under the name uncultured bacterium. Its description in RNAcentral is "partial 16S ribosomal RNA". It matches the Rfam family "Bacterial small subunit ribosomal RNA", at positions 28 to 507 of the family's 1533-position model. The record is from RNAcentral.